AAGUUUGAUCCUGGCUCAAUUGAACGCUGGCGGAAUGCUUUACACAUGCAAGUCGAACGGCAGCACGGGGGCUCGCUCUGAUGGCGAGUGGCGAACGGGUGAGUAAUGCGUCGGAACGUACCGAGUAAUGGGGGAUAACGCAGCGAAAGUUGUGCUAAUACCGCAUACGCCCUAUGGGGGAAAGCAGGGGAUCGCAAGACCUUGCGUUAUUCGAGCGGCCGACGUCUGAUUAGCUAGUUGGUGGGGUAAAGGCCUACCAAGGCGACGAUCAGUAGCGGGUCUGAGAGGAUGAUCCGCCACACUGGAACUGAGACACGGUCCAGACUCCUACGGGAGGCAGCAGUGGGGAAUUUUGGACAAUGGGGGCAACCCUGAUCCAGCCAUUCCGCGUGAGUGAAGAAGGCCUUCGGGUUGUAAAGCUCUUUCAGCAGGAACGAAACGGUACGCUCUAACAUAGCGUGCUAAUGACGGUACCUGCAGAAGAAGCACCGGCUAACUACGUGCCAGCAGCCGCGGUAAUACGUAGGGUGCGAGCGUUAAUCGGAAUUACUGGGCGUAAAGCGUGCGCAGGCGGAUUGUUAAGCAAGACGUGAAAUCCCCGGGCUUAACCUGGGAAUGGCGUUUUGAACUGGCAGUCUAGAGUGUGUCAGAGGGGGGUAGAAUUCCACGUGUAGCAGUGAAAUGCGUAGAGAUGUGGAGGAAUACCGAUGGCGAAGGCAGCCCCCUGGGAUAACACUGACGCUCAUGUACGAAAGCGUGGGUAGCAAACAGGAUUAGAUACCCUGGUAGUCG
This 792-nucleotide ribosomal RNA is filed under the name uncultured bacterium. Its description in RNAcentral is "bacterial SSU rRNA". It matches the Rfam family "Bacterial small subunit ribosomal RNA", at positions 9 to 796 of the family's 1533-position model. The record is from RNAcentral.